GACGAACGCUGGCGGCGUGCCUAAUACAUGCAAGUCGAACGCAGUGGGGACGGGUGCGUAACACGUGGGUAACCUCCCAUCAGAGGGGAUAACAAUUGGAAAAAGGUGCUAAACCGAUACUGAUGGAUGAACCCGAGGUGCAUUAGCUAGUUGGUGAGGUAACGGCUCACCAAGGCUACGAUGCCUAGCCGACCUGAGAGGGUGAUCGGCCACACUGGGACUGAGACACGGCCCAGACUCCUACGGGAGGCAGCAGUAGGGAAUCUUCGACAAUGGGCGAAAGUCUGACCGAGCAACGCCGCGUGAGUGAAGAAGGUCUUCGGAUCGUAAAACUCUGUGGUUAGAGAAGCGGUAUCUAACCAGAAAGCCACGGCUAACUACGUGCCAGCCGCCGCGGUAAUUC
RNAcentral lists this ribosomal RNA (403 nucleotides) under uncultured bacterium. Its description in RNAcentral is "partial 16S ribosomal RNA". It matches the Rfam family "Bacterial small subunit ribosomal RNA", at positions 28 to 526 of the family's 1533-position model. The record is from RNAcentral.